AUGAAUUUCAACAGAGAUGGCAAGG
Molecule: non-coding RNA, 25 nt
Filed under: Mus musculus (house mouse)
Lineage: Eukaryota; Metazoa; Chordata; Mammalia; Rodentia; Muridae
Also listed under: 1 other name
Source: RNAcentral